RNAcentral lists this ribosomal RNA (508 nucleotides) under uncultured bacterium. RNAcentral describes it as "partial 16S ribosomal RNA". It matches the Rfam family "Bacterial small subunit ribosomal RNA", at positions 28 to 523 of the family's 1533-position model. The record is from RNAcentral.
GAUGAACGCUAGCUACAGGCUUAACACAUGCAAGUCGAGGGGAAACGAUAGAGAAAGCUUGCUUUUUCUAGGCGUCGACCGGCGCACGGGUGAGUAACGCGUAUCCAACCUGCCCACCACUUGGGAAUAACCUUGCGAAAGUAAGACUAAUACCCAAUGAUAUCUCUAGAAGACAUCUGAAGGAGAUUAAAGAUUUAUCGGUGAUGGAUGGGGAUGCGUCUGAUUAGCUUGUUGGCGGGGUAACGGCCAACAAAGGCGACGAUCAGUAGGGGUUCGGGGAGGAAGGUCCCCCACAGUGGAACUGAGACACGGUCCAAACUCCUACGGGGGGCAGCAGUGAGGAAUAUUGGUCAAUGGGCGAGAGCCUGAACCAGCCAAGUAGCGUGCAGGAUGACGGCCCUAUGGGUUGUAAACUGCUUUUAUAAGGGAAUAAAGUGAGCCUCGUGAGGCUUUUUGCAUGUACCUUAUGAAUAAGGACCGGCUAAUUCCGUGCCAGCCGCCGCCGUAA